CACGUAGUUAGCCGUGGCUUGCUCGUCGGGUACCGUCUUAAAAAGGGCAUUUCCUCCCUUUCCCUUUCGUCCCCAACAACAGAGCUUUACGAUCCGAAGACCUUCUUCACUCACGCGGCGUUGCUCCGUCAGGCUUUCGCCCAUUGCGGAAGGUUCCCCACUGCUGCCUCCCGUAGGAGUAUGGGCCGUGUCUCAGUCCCAUUGUGGCCGUUCAUCCUCUCAGACCGGCUACUGAUCGUUGCUUUGGUGAGCCGUUACCUCACCAACUGGCUAAUCAGACGCAGGCCCUUCCUUCGGCGAUGGCUUGCACCAUCUUUCCUCUUUCUUCCAUGCGGAAUUAGAGUACAUUCGGUAUUAGCGGUCUUUCGGGCCGUUGUCCCCAUCCUAAGGGCAGGUUGCCUACGCGUUACUCACCCGUUUGCCCACUACGAUCCCUUUUAACCGAAAUUAAAAGUUUCCCGUUCGACUUGCAUGUGUUAAGCACGCCGCCAGCGUUCGCCUGAGCCAGGAUCAAAACUCUACUGAG
RNAcentral lists this ribosomal RNA (526 nucleotides) under uncultured Schwartzia sp. Its description in RNAcentral is "partial 16S ribosomal RNA". Lineage: Bacteria; Bacillati; Bacillota; Negativicutes; Selenomonadales; Selenomonadaceae. The record is from RNAcentral.